Molecule: ribosomal RNA, 253 nt
Filed under: uncultured bacterium
Lineage: Bacteria
Description: partial 16S ribosomal RNA
Rfam family: Bacterial small subunit ribosomal RNA
Source: RNAcentral
UACGGAGGGUGCAAGCGUUAAUCGGAAUUACUGGGCGUAAAGCGCACGCAGGUGGCUGAGUCAGUCGAUUGUGAAAGCCCUGGGCUUAACCUGGGAAUUGCAGUCGAUACUACUCAGCUAGAGUAUGGGAGAGGGCAGUGGAAUUCCCGGUGUAGCGGUGAAAUGCGUAGAUAUCGGGAGGAACAUCAGUGGCGAAGGCGGCUGCCUGGCCCAAUACUGACGCUCAGGUGCGACAGCGUGGGGAGCAAACAGG